ACACGGACCAAGGAGUCUAACAUGUAUGCGAGUCGGCGGGUGGAAAACCCGUAGGCGCAAGUAACCUAACAGGUGGGAUUUUUGCACCAUCGACCAACCUUGAUCUUCUGUGAAGGGUUUGAGUACGAGCAUACCUGUUGGGACCCGAAAGAUGGUGAACUAUGCCUGAGCAGGGUGAAGCCAGAGGAAACUCUGGUGGAGGCUCGUAGCGGUUCUGACGUGCAAAUCGAUCGUCAAAUUUGGGUAUAGGGGCGAAAGACUAAUCGAACCAUCUAGUAGCUGGUUCC
Molecule: ribosomal RNA, 287 nt
Filed under: Picochlorum sp. RCC944
Lineage: Eukaryota; Viridiplantae; Chlorophyta; Trebouxiophyceae
Description: partial Eukaryotic large subunit ribosomal RNA
Rfam family: Eukaryotic large subunit ribosomal RNA
Source: RNAcentral